Small nucleolar RNA from Hevea brasiliensis (rubber tree), 109 nucleotides. The record is from RefSeq and is a predicted model, not a curated record. Lineage: Eukaryota; Viridiplantae; Streptophyta; Magnoliopsida; Malpighiales; Euphorbiaceae.
AUGGCAUGAUGUGGGCAUAAUCUCUCUAAUUCCUUCCAUCUCAUCCAUGACUCAUAAAGAGUUUCAUCUUCUCUUAGUGCGAAAAUUUGUCAUUUGAUUCCUCGGCUCU